Molecule: non-coding RNA, 29 nt
Filed under: Homo sapiens (human)
Lineage: Eukaryota; Metazoa; Chordata; Mammalia; Primates; Hominidae
Source: RNAcentral
UGGGUCUGGUGGACUGUUCUGUGCUUGUU